CCCUAGUCCUUGCUGUCUGAGCAUUAUGAGAGCAUGUCAGCCCUAGUCCUUGCUGGCUGAGCAUUAUGAGAUCAUGACAGUCCUAGUCCUUGCUGGCUGAGCAUUAUGAGAGCAGGACAGUCCUAGUCCUUGCUGUCUGAGCAUUAUGAGAGCAGGACAGUCCUAGUCCUUGCUGGCUGAGCAUUAUGAGAUCAUGACAGUCCUAGUCCUUGCUGUCUGAGCAUUAUGAGAUCAUGACAGUCCUAGUCCUUGCUGGCUGAGCAUUAUGAGAGCAUGACAGUCCUAGU
Pelobates cultripes (western spadefoot toad) is the source of this 287-nucleotide non-coding RNA. NCBI's taxonomy places the organism in Eukaryota, Metazoa, Chordata, Amphibia, Anura, Pelobatidae. The record is from the annotation of a GenBank genome assembly.